GUGCCAGCCGCCGCGGUAAUACAGAGGGUGCAAGCGUUAAUCGGAAUUACUGGGCGUAAAGCGCACGUAGGUGGUUUGAUAAGUCGGAUGUGAAAUCCCUGGGCUCAACCUAGGAAUUGCAUUCGAUACUGUCUGACUAGAGUAUGGUAGAGGGGGGUAGAAUUCCCGGUGUAGCGGUGAAAUGCGUAGAUAUCGGGAGGAAUACCAGUGGCGAAGGCGGCCCCCUGGACCAAUACUGACACUGAGGUGC
Molecule: ribosomal RNA, 250 nt
Filed under: uncultured bacterium
Lineage: Bacteria
Description: partial 16S ribosomal RNA
Rfam family: Bacterial small subunit ribosomal RNA
Source: RNAcentral